RNAcentral lists this transfer-messenger RNA (368 nucleotides) under Psychrosphaera aquimarina. It matches the Rfam family "transfer-messenger RNA". Rfam says of the family: Bacterial tmRNA, also known as 10Sa RNA or SsrA, is named for its dual tRNA and mRNA-like properties. Its role is to liberate the mRNA from a stalled ribosome. To accomplish this part of the tmRNA is used as a reading frame that ends in a translation stop signal. The record is from RNAcentral. Lineage: Bacteria; Pseudomonadati; Pseudomonadota; Gammaproteobacteria; Alteromonadales; Pseudoalteromonadaceae.
GGGGCUGAUCUAGGAUUCGACAGGAUUGAUGAUACCGGAUGGAGCACGUCGAGGGACGGUUUGCCUCGUAAAAAGCCGUAAAAAAAUAGUCGCAAACGACGAAAACUACGCACUAGCAGCUUAAUACCCUGCCAAGAGCUCUCUUGCCCUAGCUUCUGCUCGUAAGACGGGGAACAACAAGAGAUCAAAACCCAAACGAACUAGUGGCGCGGCUCCCGCCUGAGAGGCAACCCACGAAAUUUAAUUCAGGAUAGUCGAUAAGUGGCGUGUCUGUUCGCAGCUUAUUGGUGAAUGUAAAAACUGACUAAACGUGUAGCGCCAAAGGAUAAGCUUUUCUGGACGGGGGUUCGACUCCCCCAGCUCCACCA